CACAUGCCCGAUACUGCCGCUUCUCUGUACUGCCGCCAUCACUGCAGCAAACUACCUCUCGCAGCACAAACCAGUGAUACCAGUGAACCGGACUCUUACUCACCUAAGUCUGCCUCAGGGAUGGGGAUUCAAUUGCUUCUAAUAUAUCAGGACAAGUGAUUUGACGCUAUGGGGCCGAUUUAACAAGCAGCGGAUGCGCUUCCGACCCUGAUCGUUUCUGGUCCACCAGAAACAGAAAGACACGUUCCAAUCCAUUGGAAAGCUUGAGCUGCCAUGCAAACCCAGAUUACAAGUGGAGCGGAAUCGAUAAUGCAGGAUGGUAUUACAAGGAGAAUAGAGCACAGAUUACAAGUCGAGUGCAAUCAAUAAUGCAGGAUGGUAUUACAAGAAGAAUAGCGCACAGAUUACAAGUGGAGCGCAAUCAAUAACACAGGGUUGUAAUUACAAGAAGAAUGGCACAUCGAUUACAAGUGGAGCUCAACUGAUAGCGCAAGGUGGUAUUACAAGGAGAAUAGCGCAGAGAUUACAAGUAGAGCGCAAUCAAUAGCGCAGGGUGGUAUUACAAGGAGAAUAGCGCACAGAUUACAAGUGGAGCACAAUCAAUAACACAGGGUGGUAUUUCAAGGAGAAUAGCAAACAGAUUACAAGUGGAGCACAAUCAAUAAUGCAAGGUGGUAUUACAAGGAUAAUAGCUCACAGAUUACAAAUGGAGAGCAAUCUAAAACACAGGGUGGUAGUACAAGGAGAAUAGCUCACAGAUUACAAGUGCAGCCCAAUCGAUAACGCAGGGUGGUAUUACAAGGAGAAUUGAGCACAGAUUACAAGUGGAGUGCAAUCAAUAACACAGGGUUGUUUUACAAGGAGAACAGCACACAGAUUACAAUUGGAGCUCAAUUGAUAGCGCAGGGUGGUAUUACAAGGAGAAUAGGGCACAGAUUACAAGUGGAGUGCAAUCAAUAACACAGGGUGGUUUUGCAAGGAGAACAGCACACAGAUUACAAGUGGAGCUCAAUUGAAAGCGCAGGGUGGUACUACAAGGAGAAUAGCGCACAGAUUGCAAGUGGAGUGCAAACAAUAACACAGGGUUGUUUUACAAGGAGAACAGCACCCAGAUUACAAGUGGAGCUCAAUUGAUAGCGCAGGGUGGUAUUACAAGGAGAAUAGUGCACAUAUUACAAGUGGAGCGCAAUUAAUAAUGCAGGGUGGUAUUACAAGGGGAAUAGCACACAGAUUACAAGUGGAGUGCAACUAAUAGCGCAGAGUGGUAUUACAAGGAGAAUUGUGCAUUAUCUGAUAUUAAAAGUGAAUGAAAAAAAAGAUUUGCUAGA
Molecule: long non-coding RNA, 1328 nt
Organism: Bombina bombina (fire-bellied toad)
Lineage: Eukaryota; Metazoa; Chordata; Amphibia; Anura; Bombinatoridae
Exons: 3
Source: RefSeq, a predicted model, not a curated record